This 800-nucleotide ribosomal RNA is filed under the name uncultured bacterium. RNAcentral's name for it is "bacterial SSU rRNA". It matches the Rfam family "Bacterial small subunit ribosomal RNA", at positions 8 to 755 of the family's 1533-position model. The record is from RNAcentral.
AGAGUUUGAUCAUGGCUCAGAACGAACGCUGGCGGCAGGCCUAACACAUGCAAGUCGAGCGCCCCCUUUCAGAUUUCAGAUGGCAGACACCAGAUGUCAGAUGGCUCUGUGCGUGAUCCACGCGCGGUGGUCUAUCUGAUGUCUGACAUCUGUCUUCUGACAUCUGAUGGGGGAGCGGCGGACGGGUGAGUAACGCGUGGGAAUUUUCCUCAAGGUAGGGAACAACUCAGGGAAACUUGGGCUAAUACCCUAUGAUGUCUAGCGACCAAAGAUUUAUCGCCUUGGGAUAAGCCCGCGUCAGAUUAGGUAGUUGGUGGGGUAACGGCCUACCAAGCCUGCGAUCUGUAGCUGGUCUGAGAGGACGAUCAGCCACACUGGGACUGAGACACGGCCCAGACUCCUACGGGAGGCAGCAGUGGGGAAUCUUGCGCAAUGGGCGAAAGCCUGACGCAGCCAUGCCGCGUGAAUGAUGAAGGUCUUAGGAUUGUAAAGUUCUUUCGCCCGUGACGAUGAUGACGGUAACGGGAGAAGAAGCCCCGGCUAACUUCGUGCCAGCAGCCGCGGUAAUACGAAGGGGGCUAGCGUUGUUCGGAAUUACUGGGCGUAAAGCGCGCGUAGGCGGUUUUGCAAGCCAGAGGUGAAAUGCCUGAGCUCAACUUAGGAAUUGCCUUUGGGACUGCGAGACUUUGAGGACGGUAGAGGUGAGUGGAAUUCCCAGUGUAGAGGUGAAAUUCGUAGAUAUUGGGAAGAACACCGGUGGCGAAGGCGGCUCACUGGCCCGUUUCUGACGCUGUAGCGCG